RNAcentral lists this ribosomal RNA (1448 nucleotides) under unidentified. Its description in RNAcentral is "bacterial SSU rRNA". It matches the Rfam family "Bacterial small subunit ribosomal RNA". The record is from RNAcentral.
UAGACGUUUGAUCGUGAGCUCAGAACGCAACACGGAAGGCGCAUGGAUCUUAUCAGUGAGUGGCGAACGGGUGAGUAACACAUAGGACAACCUGCCUCAAGGCUGGGGAUAACAUUUGGAAACAGAUGCUAAUACCGAAUAAAACUUAGUGUCGCAUGACACAAAGUUAAAAGGCGCUUCGGCGUCACCUAGAGAUGGAUCCGCGGUGCAUUAGUUAGUUGGUGGGGUAAAGGCCUACCAAGACAAUGAUGCAUAGCCGAGUUGAGAGACUGAUCGGCCACAUUGGGACUGAGACACGGCCCAAACUCCUACGGGAGGCUGCAGUAGGGAAUCUUCCACAAUGGGCGAAAGCCUGAUGGAGCAACGCCGCGUGUGUGAUGAAGGCUUUCGGGUCGUAAAGCACUGUUGUAUGGGAAGAACAGCUAGAAUAGGAAAUGAUUUUAGUUUGACGGUACCAUACCAGAAAGGGACGGCUAAAUACGUGCCAGCAGCCGCGGUAAUACGUAUGUCCCGAGCGUUAUCCGGAUUUAUUGGGCGUAAAGCGAGCGCAGACGGUUUAUUAAGUCUGAUGUGAAAGCCCGGAGCUCAACUCCGGAAUGGCAUUGGAAACUGGUUAACUUGAGUGCAGUAGAGGUAAGUGGAACUCCAUGUGUAGCGGUGGAAUGCGUAGAUAUAUGGAAGAACACCAGUGGCGAAGGCGGCUUACUGGACUGCAACUGACGUUGAGGCUCGAAAGUGUGGGUAGCAAACAGGAUUAGAUACCCUGGUAGUCCACACCGUAAACGAUGAACACUAGGUGUUAGGAGGUUUCCGCCUCUUAGUGCCGAAGCUAACGCAUUAAGUGUUCCGCCUGGGGAGUACGACCGCAAGGUUGAAACUCAAAGGAAUUGACGGGGACCCGCACAAGCGGUGGAGCAUGUGGUUUAAUUCGAAGCAACGCGAAGAACCUUACCAGGUCUUGACAUCCUUUGAAGCUUUUAGAGAUAGAAGUGUUCUCUUCGGAGACAAAGUGACAGGUGGUGCAUGGUCGUCGUCAGCUCGUGUCGUGAGAUGUUGGGUUAAGUCCCGCAACGAGCGCAACCCUUAUUGUUAGUUGCCAGCAUUCAGAUGGGCACUCUAGCGAGACUGCCGGUGACAAACCGGAGGAAGGCGGGGACGACGUCAGAUCAUCAUGCCCCUUAUGACCUGGGCUACACACGUGCUACAAUGGCGUAUACAACGAGUUGCCAACCCGCGAGGGUGAGCUAAUCUCUUAAAGUACGUCUCAGUUCGGAUUGUAGUCUGCAACUCGACUACAUGAAGUCGGAAUCGCUAGUAAUCGCGGAUCAUCACGCCGCGGCGAAUACGUUCCCGGGUCUUGUACACAUCGCCCGUCACCCCAUGGCAGUUUGUACUGCCCAACGCUCAGAGUCCGAUCCUGCUCGAUCGAACCAAUGAGUCCAGAAGCU